Molecule: non-coding RNA, 4467 nt
Organism: Lactuca sativa (garden lettuce)
Lineage: Eukaryota; Viridiplantae; Streptophyta; Magnoliopsida; Asterales; Asteraceae
Source: RefSeq, a predicted model, not a curated record
UAUUACGUGUUUGAGCCUUUGAGGUACAAAACUUAGAACCCCAAUGGGUUUGACUUUAGUGACUUUUUGACUCACAGCUCAGGGAAGUCGAAAUAGUGCGCAUUUGAAACCGACCAUGAACAAUGUCCGGCUCCUCCUCCGCCGUGGCUAUGCCACCAAAUACAGCGGCAGAGUCAUCACCGAAAUGGACAACGGCCGUUCAUUCGCCGUCGAAGUCGAAGUCCCAAACAUCCAACAACUUGACCCCAGAGGCUACCCUCUCCCUCGCCGUGACCUUGUCUGCAAGGUCGUCAACAUUCUCCAGUCCCGGUCAUCGGACCCCUUCAUCGAACUUUCCGACUAUCUGGAAACCCUAACCCUAACCAUCACCCCUUCCGAAGCAUCCGAAAUCCUCAAAUCGCUCCAUUCAUCAUCUCUUGCACUCCAAUUCUUUCGAUUUUGCCCCUCUUCUAUCCCUAAAUUUCGUCACGAUUGCUUCACCUACAACCGCAUUCUCCUCAUCCUCUCCAAGUCUUCCUCCCCUGACCGGUUAGACUCUGUCCGUCGUAUUAUCGACGAGAUGGAGCGGUCGCGCGUGCAUGGCAACAUCUCCACCGUCAACCUUUUGAUCGGAAUAUUCGGCGGCGGUGAAGAUUUGGACAGGUGCUUACGGCUGGUUAAAAAAUGGGAGCUCAGGAUGAAUCGCUAUACAUAUAAAUGCCUUCUGCAAGCUCAUUUACGCUCUCGUGAUUCAAACAAGGGCUUGGAAGUUUAUCAAGAGAUGAAACGGAAAGGAUAUCAACCGGAUAUCUUUGCCUACAAUAUGCUACUUGAUGCUCUUGCCAAAGACGAAAAGGUUGAUGAAGCGAACAAGGUUUUUGAAGACAUGAAGAAGAAACACUGUGAGCCUGAUGAAUAUACAUACACAAUUCUGAUCAGAAUGACUGGAAAACAUGGGAAGCUUGAUGAUGCAAUAUCACUCUUUCAAGAAAUGCUAUCAAAGAACCUAGCUCCAAAUCUAAUUGCUUACAACACUACAAUCCAGGUUCUUGCUACAAACCGAUUGGUUGACAAAACUAUAUACCUCUUUUCAAAAAUGGUAGAAAACAAUUGCUGCCCAAAUGAAUUCACUUACAGUAUCAUCCUCAAUGUCCUAGCUUCAGAAGGACAACUUGGUAGACUCGAUGAAGUUGUGGAAAUAUCAAAGAAGUACAUGAACAAGGGCAUAUAUGCAUACCUUGUACGUACACUUAGUAAAUUAGGUCAUGCUAGUGAAGCUCAUCGCCUCUUUUGCUACAUGUGGAGCUUCCAUGAUAAAGGAGAUAGAGAUGCUUACUUAUCCAUGUUAGAGAGUUUAUGUAAAGAAGAUAAAAUGAAUGAAGCUAUAGACUUAUUAAGUAAGAUUCAUGAAAAGGGGAUAAGUUCAGAUACUAUUAUGUACAACACUGUGUUCACUGCUCUUGGGAAAUCAAAACAGGUAUCUCAUAUUCUUGAUUUAUAUAACAAGAUGAAAGAAGAAGGGCCUCAACCAGAUAUAUUCACUUACAAUAUAUUGAUUUCAAGCUUUGGGAGAGCUGGAAGAGUUGAUGAGGCUGUUAAGAUCUUUGAUGAGCUGGAGAAUAGUGACUGUAAGCCUGAUAUUGUAUCAUAUAAUUCUUUAAUAAAUUGCUUAGGGAAAAAUGGUGAUGUUGAUGAAGCUUACAUGAGGUGUAAAGAGAUGGAAGAGAAGGGGUUGAAUCCGGAUGUUGUAACGUAUAGUACAUUGAUCGAGUGUUUUGGGAAAUCAGAUAAAGUAGAAAUGGCUUGUAGAUUGUUUGAUGAAAUGCUUUCUGAAGGGUGUUGUCCUAAUAUUGUUACAUAUAACAUAUUGUUGGAUUGCCUUGAGAGAAGUGGGAGAACUGCUGAAGCUGUUGACUUGUAUGCAAAGCUUAAAGAACAAGGUUUGACUCCGGAUUGGAUUACGUAUUCCAUUCUUGAACGUUUACAAAGUGGUUCUCAUAGGAGAUUUAGAAGUAGGAGGCAAAAUCCAAUUACUGGAUGGGUUGUUAGUCCUUUAAGGUGAUAAUUGGAUUAUGAAGAUGAAGUCUGAAUGCUGAAGUUUGGAAUGUGGAAGUUGUUUUCUUCAUUGGAAAAAGAAUUCGGUUGGCUUCUCUUCGAUAUGCUUGAAAAUAUAUUCUGGGUUUAUGGGGAAGGCACAAAGUAGGGUAACAAAAGUCUAGAUGUACUAGAGAAUAAAAGUAAAUAAAUAAUGGCAGCAAGUUGUUUCUAGUAUAACUUUAUUAUUAUUAUUUUUUUUUCAUAUUUGUUGUAAUAUCUUAUAUUUUAUUAAUUUAUUUAUUUUGUAUUUAUAAUAGCUAUAUUUGUGAUUUACGUUAAACAAUCAAUUAACUUAAAUCUGAUUAUCUUUAUUAUUAAUUUUUUAUUUUACAAAAUAUGCAUUAGAUAAAAUUAACAACAAUUAACAUAUAAAUUAUAUUUAAAAUAUGAAAAAUUCAUGGUAGAAUAUAUUCUUUUAGCUAUGUUGAAUUUUUGACAUGGUAACACAACAAACUUAUAAUUUACUUUUAAAAUAUAAAAAUUUGUGGUAAGCAAUUAUUUAUUUAUUUAUUUUGGUUAUGUAAGAGUAUUUAAUAUAUUACUUAAUAUAUUUCAUUUAGAUGCAAUAUUAUUUGCAACACGGUCUUCAUAACUACUUUUUUUUUACUCAUAUAUUUUGUUACCUCUGUUAACUUGGACAUGCCAUAUUUUCUAUACUAGAUUCGUUACUAUCAACUUGACCCGAACCGAUAACCAAACUUUUUCAAACAUGUUAAUUUAAAUAUCUCAAUUAAGAUGGACACCCUUGAGUUUGAAUCCUGGAUUCGCCACUGGGGUAUGGUCAUUUUCUCCCACCUUUUUAAUACCAAUCUGCUCUACAACCCUUAUAUACUUUCAUUUAUUAAAUCUUUGAUUUCCCCCAACAUAUUAUCCAUUUUGUCAUAUAUUUCGCCUAUUUUUGGGCCUUUAGCCCUUCAUCAUUGCAAAAUAUGACCAACAGAAAAGUAGGCUUCGUGAUGCAUAUAGUAUUUUCAACUUCGAUCCAAAUGUCGUCAUCUCUGAAGUGUCGAUAGCCUUUACAACUUGUCUACUGUGUUCAUCGCCUUGUUUCUCCCUAUCUCCCCAUGAAUUACAAGCAAUUGUUGUAGAUAGGGCUUCUCUAUAAGUGAUUAACCUCCUCAACAAAAUAUUGUGAGACGUAAAUUGGGUUUUUGCAACCUUUAAAAGCUCUGACUUUGAAUUGUCCCUAAAAAUGGCUAAAGCUUGUACAUGGUUUAAAAAAUAUUUGACAAUCUUUUUCCCUUUUUUUUGUGUCAUUUGGCAAAUAAACUCACUUGCAAAGUCUUUAAAAAUCAAGUUCAAUGUAAUUACAUAACACGGUGACCAAAAAAUAUGCUUGUAUAUCUUUUCGAUUUUCUUUCCCCCAACUUUACAAUUGGUGACAUUGUUUGACACGACACGACACUACACUGAAAACAUUACUUGGGUUGACAAAAUCAAUCGCUUCGCCUAGAAAUUAAACAAUUAUGUAUAGGAACAUAAAACGUGGCUGUUUAUGGCAAGACCAUUGUUUAAUGAUUUACGUUUGAUGUUUGUCCACCAAUCAGGUAUUAUAGAAAUACCGUGUGAAUACCAUGUAUCUUUAAAUGGUGUUAAGUCCUCAACAUCUCUCACACAUUCAUCUAGUAGAACGGUUCUUGCUUACUCAUUAGAUAUGCUUUAUAACGUUGGGUGUCUUUCUUGUUGCAUUUACCAUUUCAUGAAAUUGCGAAUUACGCAAAAUUUUAAAAGGAAUCCCGUUUGCACAUAAAGCCCUCAUAUUUUAAAAGUCAACCACAAUUCUCUCAAUUAUGGCAUCACAAAGCCUAUUUUUCUGUUGGUCAAAUUUGUGCGAUGGUGAAGGUUCCAAAAUAGGCGAAAUAUAUGAGAUAAUGGAUAAUAUGUUGGGAGAAAUCAAAGAUGUGAUGAAAGAAAGUAUAUAUGCAUCAUAUUUUCCUCAAGCAGAGCAAAUUGUAUCGAAAAGGUGAGAGAAAAUGACCAUACCAUUACAUUGUCUGGGAUUUGCGUUUACUCCACGAUUUUAUGACACAUUAUUUUGAAACGUUAGCAUCGAGUAGAAUACAUAGAAAACCACCUAACCUUGAUAAAGAAGUUGUACAAGGUGUCAUGAAAGUUUUUAAUUGCAUUCCUUUAAAUAGAGACGAAGAAUGGAUAUUGUGAGAACAAUUAGCUACGUUUCACAUGAACAAGAGUCUUUAUACAUUACAAUGGAAACAGUUGAUUGGUGGUCUACUUAUUGACCCAGAAACACCAAAGUUAGUUAAGUGGCAAAAAAAUGUUUGUCACAACAUAUAAAUAGUUCUUUAUAGAAAUUGGAACACUUAUUCUUUUAUCCAUAAUGUGAAAAGAAAUCGGCUAAACUGUAAAAGGGCCGACAAACUUGUUUUUGUU